RNAcentral lists this ribosomal RNA (160 nucleotides) under uncultured bacterium. RNAcentral's name for it is "partial 16S ribosomal RNA". It matches the Rfam family "Bacterial small subunit ribosomal RNA", at positions 349 to 507 of the family's 1533-position model. The record is from RNAcentral.
CAUGUGUAUGGAAUUUUGCUCUAUGGGGCAAAGCCUGCCCUACGAAAGCCGCGUCAGGAAGACGGCCCUACGGGUUGUAAACUGCUUUUGUACGGGAAUAAACCCACGCUCGUGAGCGUAGCUGUUAGUACCGUACGAAUAAGGAUCGGCUAACUCCGUG